Molecule: small nuclear RNA, 185 nt
Organism: Rhipicephalus microplus (southern cattle tick)
Lineage: Eukaryota; Metazoa; Arthropoda; Arachnida; Ixodida; Ixodidae
Product: U2 spliceosomal RNA
Source: RefSeq, a predicted model, not a curated record
UUCCCUCUAUGUUUUGCCUCUUUCAAUAACCACUCUAUGUUCCUAUUAGCCUAAUGUGUGAUACGGAUUCUAUUUGUGUCAGAGAUAAACUUAUUUUUGGAAUGUGGCGCAGUGCUGGAAGCUCGCUGCCACUUCGCCACGGGUUGGUCCGGUAUAGCACUAUCUCCGGGAUCAGCCCACUCGCC